CAUUGGCUAACAGAAUAAAGCGAUGUGAAGACAAGGUACAAACUUUUAUAGUUGCUAUAAAAGUUUGUACCUUGUCUUCACAUCGCUUUAUUCUGUUAG
Paramuricea clavata is the source of this 99-nucleotide non-coding RNA. NCBI's taxonomy places the organism in Eukaryota, Metazoa, Cnidaria, Anthozoa, Malacalcyonacea, Plexauridae. The record is from the annotation of a GenBank genome assembly.